This 72-nucleotide transfer RNA is filed under the name Tetradesmus obliquus. Its description in RNAcentral is "tRNA-Gln". It matches the Rfam family "tRNA". Rfam says of the family: Transfer RNA (tRNA) molecules are approximately 80 nucleotides in length. Their secondary structure includes four short double-helical elements and three loops (D, anti-codon, and T loops). Further hydrogen bonds mediate the characteristic L-shaped molecular structure. tRNAs have two regions of fundamental functional importance: the anti-codon, which is responsible for specific mRNA codon recognition, and the 3' end, to which the tRNAs corresponding amino acid is attached (by aminoacyl-tRNA synthetases). tRNAs cope with the degeneracy of the genetic code in two manners: having more than one tRNA (with a specific anti-codon) for a particular amino acid; and 'wobble' base-pairing, i.e. permitting non-standard base-pairing at the 3rd anti-codon position. The record is from RNAcentral. Lineage: Eukaryota; Viridiplantae; Chlorophyta; Chlorophyceae; Sphaeropleales; Scenedesmaceae.
GGCUCUAUAGUGUAGUGGUGAUCACACUGGACUCUGAAUCCAGAAGCCCCAGUUUGAGCCUGGGUAGGGCCU